CCUACGGGGGGCUGCAGUGGGGAAUAUUGCACAAUGGGCGCAAGCCUGAUGCAGCGACGCCGCGUGAGCGAUGAAGGCCUUCGGGUCGUAAAGCUCUGUCCUAAGGGAAGAAUAAUGACGGUACCUUAGGAGGAAGCCCCGGCUAACUACGUGCCAGCAGCCGCGGUAAUACGUAGGGAGCUAGCGUUGUUCGGAAUUACUGGGCGUAAAGCGCACGUAGGCGGUUACUCAAGUCAGAGGUGAAAGCCCGGGGCUCAACCCCGGAACUGCCUUUGAAACUAGGUAACUAGAAUCCUGGAGAGGUGAGUGGAAUUCCGAGUGUAGAGGUGAAAUUCGUAGAUAUUCGGAAGAACACCAGUGGCGAAGGCGGCUCACUGGACAGGUAUUGACGCUGAGGUGCGAAAGCGUGGGGAGCAAACAGGAUUAGAUACCCCUGUAGUC
Molecule: ribosomal RNA, 441 nt
Filed under: uncultured bacterium
Lineage: Bacteria
Description: bacterial SSU rRNA
Rfam family: Bacterial small subunit ribosomal RNA
Source: RNAcentral